GAGCUCGUAGGCGGUUUGUCGCGUCUGCUGUGAAAUCCCGAGGCUCAACCUCGGGCCUGCAGUGGGUACGGGCAGACUAGAGUGCGGUAGGGGAGAUUGGAAUUCCUGGUGUAGCGGUGGAAUGCGCAGAUAUCAGGAGGAACACCGAUGGCGAAGGCAGAUCUCUGGGCCGUAACUGACGCUGAGGAGCGAAAGGGUGGGGAGCAAACAGGCUUAGAUACCCUGGUAGUCCACCCCGUAAACGUUGGGAACUAGUUGUGGGGACCAUUCCACGGUUUCCGUGACGCAGCUAACGCAUUAAGUUCCCCGCCUGGGGAGUACGGCCGCAAGGCUAAAACUCAAAGGAAUUGACGGGGACCCGCACAAGCGGCGGAGCAUGCGGAUUAAUUCGAUGCAACGCGAAGAACCUUACCAAGGCUUGACAUAUACGAGAACGGGCCAGAAAUGGUCAACUCUUUGGACACUCGUAAACAGGUGGUGCAUGGUUGUCGUCAGCUCGUGUCGUGAGAUGUUGGGUUAAGUCCCGCAACGAGCGCAACCCUCGUUCUAUGUUGCCAGCACGUAAUGGUGGGAACUCAUGGGAUACUGCCGGGGUCAACUCGGAGGAAGGUGGGGAUGACGUCAAAUCAUCAUGCCCCUUAUGUCUUGGGCUUCACGCAUGCUACAAUGGCCGGUACAAAGGGCUGCAAUACCGUGAGGUGGAGCGAAUCCCAAAAAGCCGGUCCCAGUUCGGAUUGAGGUCUGCAACUCGACCUCAUGAAGUCGGAGUCGCUAGUAAUCGCAGAUCAGCAACGCUGCGGUGAAUACGUUCCCGGGUCUUGUACACACCGCCCGUCAAGUCAUGAAAGUCGGUAACACCUGAAGCCGGUGGCCCAACCCUUGUGGAGGGAGCCGUCGAAGGUGGGAUCGGUAAUUAGGACGAAGUCGUA
Molecule: ribosomal RNA, 929 nt
Filed under: Microbacterium testaceum
Lineage: Bacteria; Bacillati; Actinomycetota; Actinomycetes; Micrococcales; Microbacteriaceae
Description: bacterial SSU rRNA
Rfam family: Bacterial small subunit ribosomal RNA
Source: RNAcentral